RNAcentral lists this long non-coding RNA (324 nucleotides) under Ananas comosus (pineapple). RNAcentral describes it as "long non-coding RNA (ACOM_LNC029178)". The record is from RNAcentral. Lineage: Eukaryota; Viridiplantae; Streptophyta; Magnoliopsida; Poales; Bromeliaceae.
AUAGAGAGAGAGAGAGUUUGGCUAAAGUAUUUCUAAUAGUAUCAAGCACUUGGUGUUACCAAGUUAAUUUUUCACCGUUAUAUUAUAUAUCCCUGUAACCAUUUCCUCCUUUACUAUUCAAGUAACCACUUACUUUAUCAUAGAGGAUCAUUAUCAUCCUGACCGCACAUUCUUAGUAACUAUCCUUCUAGAAGGAUGGAGACCUUCGUCCUCCAAAAUCAUUUUAGCUGAUAGAAAUUUCGAAUCGAUGAUCGGAACCGUUAAAUACGAUCUAGAGUAUUUAAAGUGUCUAUGUUGGAAGCGUGAUUUACUCUAACACCACUU